AGUGAACGCUGGCGGUAGGCCUAACACAUGCAAGUCGAACGGCGGCACAGUAGGAGCUUGCUCUUACGGGUGGCGAGUGGCGGACGGGUGAGGAAUACAUCGGAAUCUACUUUUUCGUGGGGGAUAACGUAGGGAAACUUACGCUAAUACCGCAUACGACCUACGGGUGAAAGCAGGGGAUCUUCGGACCUUGCGCGAUUGAAUGAGCCGAUGUCGGAUUAGCUAGUUGGCGGGGUAAAGGCCCACCAAGGCGACGAUCCGUAGCUGGUCUGAGAGGAUGACCAGCCACCGUGGAACAGAGACACGGCCCAGCCUCCUCGGGGAGGAAGCGGGGGGGAUUAUUGAACAAGGGCCGCAGGCCUGACCCAGCCAUCCCGGGGGGUGGAAGAGGGCCUUCGGGUUAAAACCCCUUUUUGUGGGAAAAAAAAACAAGAGGGUUAACCCCCCGUUUUUCUGAGGUCACCAAAAAAAAAACCCCCGCAAACCUUCGUC
This 492-nucleotide ribosomal RNA is filed under the name uncultured bacterium. Its description in RNAcentral is "partial 16S ribosomal RNA". It matches the Rfam family "Bacterial small subunit ribosomal RNA", at positions 29 to 507 of the family's 1533-position model. The record is from RNAcentral.